Molecule: ribosomal RNA, 253 nt
Filed under: uncultured bacterium
Lineage: Bacteria
Description: partial 16S ribosomal RNA
Rfam family: Bacterial small subunit ribosomal RNA
Source: RNAcentral
UACGAAGGGGGCUAGCGUUGCUCGGAAUCACUGGGCGUAAAGCGCACGUAGGCGGCUUUCUAAGUCAGGGGUGAAAUCCUGGAGCUCAACUCCAGAACUGCCUUUGAUACUGGGAAGCUCGAGUCCGGAAGAGGUGAGUGGAACUCCGAGUGUAGAGGUGAAAUUCGUAGAUAUUCGGAAGAACACCAGUGGCGAAGGCGGCUCACUGGUCCGGUACUGACGCUGAGGUGCGAAAGCGUGGGGAUCAAACAGG